This is a long non-coding RNA of Aphis gossypii (cotton aphid), 685 nucleotides long. RefSeq lists it as uncharacterized. The record is from RefSeq and is a predicted model, not a curated record. The transcript is spliced from 3 exons. NCBI's taxonomy places the organism in Eukaryota, Metazoa, Arthropoda, Insecta, Hemiptera, Aphididae.
AUCGCUGUUUUCUGUAGCUCCGUGGCCGCGUCGUUAUCAAAACGAAUAGUUCUCCUACCGUCGAUAAUGCGAUUAUCAAAACAAACGGUUCUCCUCUGGUUAAUAACACGAGUUUUUGAAAACGAUUUUUACAAUUUUCGCCGGAUUUUUCAAUUUUUCCGAAAGUUUUUCACUUCGUUGUUUGCGUAGCUCGCGUCUCUUGAAGGCCGUGCGUAUACGUGUUUUUCGUCGUUUGUGUUUGUAGCUGUCACGAUCGCGAUUGUCUGUAUAUGAAAUAUAUACUAUUUGAAGCUUGAGUUUACACAACAUUUUGAUUACACUUGCUACUCUCAUAUUGUCCUCGAUGUGAUGCAGUCGGCUUGCUUAUAUGCACCGGGAAAAGCGACGGGAUAACUAUUUACACCAGACGAUAACUGCUAGACAUUUAGACAUGGCAAUCGACUUAUUCAUAUUUUUUACAAGCUCAAACCUCACUGAUCCGGUGAAACGAUUUUCACUCUCGACCAACUUGAAGGCACCCGAGGAAAUUUCCAAAUUCCAGCAAUUGAGUUUCCGCCAGCCACUAGUUGUGAUAAUAAAUUACGAAAUGACAAGAAUAUUAAUAAUAAUGAUUGCAAGACAGUGGUGUACCUGAAUUGCCUACCCAAAACGCCGCUGAACAUAAUAUCAGUAAUGAAAAUAUGUG